Molecule: long non-coding RNA, 751 nt
Organism: Pezoporus occidentalis (night parrot)
Lineage: Eukaryota; Metazoa; Chordata; Aves; Psittaciformes; Psittacidae
Exons: 4
Source: RefSeq, a predicted model, not a curated record
AAAAGAGAGGGAAGGAGCUACUACAAAUGACAAAAACGUAGCUUUUCUAAAAGUGAUUAGAAUGUGCUUGAGGAUAUGAAUAUUCAUUGGUGAGGCACUGAGUAUGUGCUAAAAAUGUACAUAUUUUCUUUGCAAGAGAAAGUAAUAACAUCACUUUGUAAAAAUUCCUGGGUAUCUAAGAAGUAUUUCCAUUUUCUCUGUCUUUAUAGGAGAAAAUAGGAGGAAAAAAGCCCCAUAACCAAGCCCAAGAGUGAGUUUCUACAUGUGGCUUAUUACAUGGCCGUCUUAAUGCUAGUGCUGGCAGGAGAGAAGGGUCUGGACAGUAGCGUCCAGUGUCUUUGAAUUAGCAUUCCUUGAUGAAGUGGACUUAAUACUCGCAUGCAUGUGAUUGUGGGCCAAGUUGGAGGUUUAUCUGUGUCAUUCGUAUGAAGUAGUAAGUUCAUCAGGAUUGAAAACUAGAAUUUCCACAGGAAGUGUACAGAUAUGAGGAAAUGUACCUUUAAUGUUGAAAUAAUUCGAGAUCAGAGUGCCAAUAUGGCCAUGCUCUUGAAAAGGAAGAACUGAAUACACAGCUCAUUUACCAAGGCAAAAGUGUUUAACUAUGACCUUAAGCACAUGCUGCUGCUUGUUAGUUCAACUGAAGCUACACAAACAUGAUAAAAGGUAACUGACCUUUAUUCUGUGCUCUAGGUAUCUGUUUGAUGAUGAUCUCACUUUGUCCAGGGGUUUAACAAGUGUUUACUUUAUAACU